AACGGUCUAUACCUGCGGUACCUGCGGAAGGAUCAUUAAAGAGAAAACUGCCCUUUGGGUAGAUCUCCCACCCUUUGUUUACCUUACCUUUGUUGCUUUGGCAGGCCCGUCUUCUGACCACCGGCUUUAGCUGGUCCGUGCCUGCCAGAGGACCCCAAACUCUUAAUUUUAAGUUGUCCGAGUCUUAUAAAAUAGUAAAAACUUUUAACAACGGAUCUCU
RNAcentral lists this unclassified non-coding RNA (220 nucleotides) under soil metagenome. RNAcentral describes it as "partial contains 5.8S ribosomal RNA, internal transcribed spacer 2, and large subunit ribosomal RNA". The record is from RNAcentral.